UGCCUCAGUAACGGCGUAGUGAAGCGGCAACAGCUCAAAUUUGAAAUCUGGCUCCUUCGUUGGCCCGAGUUGUAAUUUGCAGAGGAUGUGUCGGGUACGGGUUCCCUCCGAGUUCCCUGGAACGGGACGCCAUAGAGGGUGAGAGCCCCGUCUGGUAGGACACCCAGCCCGUGUGACACUCCCUCGACGAGUCGAGUAGUUUGGGAAUGCUGCUCUAACGGGAGGUAUACUCCUUCCAAGGCUAAAUACCGGCUGGAGACCGAUAGCGCACAAGUAGAGUGAUCGAAAGAUGAAAAGUACUUUGAAAAGAGAGUCAAAUAGCACGUGAAAUUGUUAAAAGGGAAGCACUCGCUACCAGACUUGGGUUCAGCGGUUCAACCGGGGCCACGCCCCGGGGCAUUCCGCCGGCCCAGGCCAGCAUCAGCUUUCCGUCGGGGGUAAAGGCGUCGGGAAUGUGGCUCUCCUUCGGGGGAGUGUUAUAGCCCGUCGUGUCAUACCCUUCGGGGGGCUGAGGUACGCGCUUCUGCAAGGAUGCUGGCGUAAUGGUAGCUAGUGACCCGUCUUGAAACACGGACCAAGGAGUCAACCUUAUGUGCGAGUGCCCGGGCGUAAAACCCCAGCGCGGAAUGAAAGUGAACGUAGGUGAGAGCUUCGGCGCAUCACCGACCGAUCCAGAUGUCCUCGGACGGAUUUGAGUGAGAGCAUAUAGGGUUGGACCCGAAAGAAGAUGAACUAUGCGUGUGUAGGGUGAAGCCAGAGGAAACUCU
This 767-nucleotide ribosomal RNA is filed under the name Plectosphaerella populi. Its description in RNAcentral is "LSU rRNA". It matches the Rfam family "Eukaryotic large subunit ribosomal RNA", at positions 76 to 865 of the family's 3401-position model. Lineage: Eukaryota; Fungi; Ascomycota; Sordariomycetes; Glomerellales; Plectosphaerellaceae. The record is from RNAcentral.